This 301-nucleotide ribosomal RNA is filed under the name uncultured bacterium. Its description in RNAcentral is "partial 16S ribosomal RNA". It matches the Rfam family "Bacterial small subunit ribosomal RNA", at positions 509 to 809 of the family's 1533-position model. The record is from RNAcentral.
CAGUCGCCGCGGGAAUACGUAGGUGGCAAGCGUUGUCCGGAAUUAUUGGGCGUAAAGCGCACGUAGGCGGUUAUUCAAGUCAGAGGUGAAAGCCCGGGGCUCAACCCCGGAACUGCCUUUGAAACUAGAUGACUGGAAUCUUGGAGAGGUCAGUGGAAUUCCGAGUGUAGAGGUGAAAUUCGUAGAUAUUCGGAAGAACACCAGUGGCGAAGGCGACUGACUGGACAAGUAUUGACGCUGAGGUGCGAAAGCGUGGGGAGCAAACAGGAUUAGAUACCCCGGUAGUCCCUGUCUCUUAUAA